GGGACCAUAGCUCAGAGGUAGAGCACCCGGCUCAUAACCGGAGGGUCGUUGGUUCGAUCCCAACUGGUCCCACUA
This 75-nucleotide transfer RNA is filed under the name Candidatus Moranbacteria bacterium RBG_13_45_13. Its description in RNAcentral is "tRNA-Met". It matches the Rfam family "tRNA". From Rfam's summary of the family: Transfer RNA (tRNA) molecules are approximately 80 nucleotides in length. Their secondary structure includes four short double-helical elements and three loops (D, anti-codon, and T loops). The record is from RNAcentral. Lineage: Bacteria; Candidatus Moraniibacteriota.